This 83-nucleotide transfer RNA is filed under the name Oryctolagus cuniculus (rabbit). It matches the Rfam family "tRNA". From Rfam's summary of the family: Transfer RNA (tRNA) molecules are approximately 80 nucleotides in length. Their secondary structure includes four short double-helical elements and three loops (D, anti-codon, and T loops). Further hydrogen bonds mediate the characteristic L-shaped molecular structure. tRNAs have two regions of fundamental functional importance: the anti-codon, which is responsible for specific mRNA codon recognition, and the 3' end, to which the tRNAs corresponding amino acid is attached (by aminoacyl-tRNA synthetases). tRNAs cope with the degeneracy of the genetic code in two manners: having more than one tRNA (with a specific anti-codon) for a particular amino acid; and 'wobble' base-pairing, i.e. permitting non-standard base-pairing at the 3rd anti-codon position. The record is from Rfam by way of RNAcentral. Lineage: Eukaryota; Metazoa; Chordata; Mammalia; Lagomorpha; Leporidae.
GGAGCUGUGGCGCAGUGGGUUAACGCCCUGGCCUGAAAUGCCAGCAUCCCAUAUGGGCUCCAGUUCGAGUCCCAGCUGCUCCA